CUGGCAGUCAGAGGCGAUGAAGGGCGUGCUAAUCUGCGAUAAGCGCCGGUAAGGUGAUAUGAACCGUUAUAACCGGCGAUACCCGAAUGGGGAAACCCAGUGUGACUCGUCACACUAUCAUUAACUGAAUCCAUAGGUUAAUGAGGCGAACCGGGGGAACUGAAACAUCUAAGUACCCCGAGGAAAAGAAAUCAACCGAGAUUCCCCCAGUAGCGGCGAGCGAACGGGGAGGAGCCCAGAGCCUGAAUCAGCAUGUGUGUUAGUGGAAGCGUCUGGAAAGGCGCGCGAUACAGGGUGACAGCCCCGUACACAAAAGCGCAUGUGCUGUGAGCUCGAUGAGUAGGGCGGGACACGUGGUAUCCUGUCUGAAUAUGGGGGGACCAUCCUCCAAGGCUAAAUACUCCUGACUGACCGAUAGUGAACCAGUACCGUGAGGGAAAGGCGAAAAGAACCCCGGCGAGGGGAGUGAAAAAGAACCUGAAACCGUGUACGUACAAGCAGUGGGAGCACCCUUUGGGUGUGACUGCGUACCUUUUGUAUAAUGGGUCAGCGACUUAUAUUCUGUAGCAAGGUUAACCGAAUAGGGGAGCCGGAGGGAAA
RNAcentral lists this ribosomal RNA (600 nucleotides) under Salmonella enterica subsp. enterica serovar Enteritidis. RNAcentral's name for it is "partial 23S ribosomal RNA". It matches the Rfam family "Bacterial large subunit ribosomal RNA", at positions 33 to 676 of the family's 2925-position model. The record is from RNAcentral. Lineage: Bacteria; Pseudomonadati; Pseudomonadota; Gammaproteobacteria; Enterobacterales; Enterobacteriaceae.